This 515-nucleotide long non-coding RNA is filed under the name Bos indicus x Bos taurus (hybrid cattle). RNAcentral describes it as "lncRNA (ENSBIXG00000014695.1)". The record is from RNAcentral. Lineage: Eukaryota; Metazoa; Chordata; Mammalia; Artiodactyla; Bovidae.
ACCUUCCACUCCAUUUUACCCUGCUUUCUUUUUUUUUCUUUUAAGAUUCUUUUUUUGAUGUGGACCGUCUUUUUUGAACUUAUUACAAUAUUGCUUCUGUUUAAUUGUUAUCACUAUUAUUAUUUUUGGCCACAAGACAUGUAAGGUCUUAGCUCCCUGCUCAGGAAUUGAACCUGCGCCGCAUGGACUGGACAGUGACAUCUUAACCACUGGACCGCCAGGGAAGUCCCCACUCUGCUUUCUUCAUUCUUUGCAAACAUGCUGCCCAUGCGGUGUGAAUCACCGAGUGGGCUGUGUUCUGGGCCCGACUCUGUCAUUAACUGGCACAGUGACCAGGUAAGCAUCCUCCCCUUGCUAGACCUCAGUUUAUACAGCCACUCAGUGUAGGGUUUGGCCUGUAUCCGUGGUGUCCAAAUUCUUUUUAAGUUGAACCUGUUUUUCAAAUAGAAUCUUAACUUCUAAAAACCAGAGUGCUCCAACUGACCUGUGAGUAGAAGAACUAAUACUCUCUCCAC